CGUACACUCCUGCGGGAGGCAGCAGUGGGGAAUAUUGCACAAUGGGCGCAAGCCUGAUGCAGCCAUGCCGCGUGUAUGAAGAAGGCCUUCGGGUUGUAAAGUACUUUCAGCGGGGAGGAAGGCAAUACGGUUAAUAACCGUGUUGAUUGACGUUACCCGCAGAAGAAGCACCGGCUAACUCCGUGCCAGCAGCCGCGGUAAUACGGAGGGUGCAAGCGUUAAUCGGAAUUACUGGGCGUAAAGCGCACGCAGGCGGUCUGUCAAGUCGGAUGUGAAAUCCCCGGGCUCAACCUGGGAACUGCAUUCGAAACUGGCAGGCUUGAGUCUUGUAGAGGGGGGUAGAAUUCCAGGUGUAGCGGUGAAAUGCGUAGAGAUCUGGAGGAAUACCGGUGGCGAAGGCGGCCCCCUGGACAAAGACUGACGCUCAGGUGCGAAAGCGUGGGGAGCAAACAGGAUUAGAUACCCCGGUAGUCCCAUGA
Molecule: ribosomal RNA, 479 nt
Filed under: uncultured organism
Description: partial 16S ribosomal RNA
Rfam family: Bacterial small subunit ribosomal RNA
Source: RNAcentral